AUGGCGGGCGCAAGGAACAACGAGCUGCGCAUGACCCUGCUCGGCCUGGCCCUGCUGGGGCUCCUGCUGGUGAGCCACACCGCGGCUCCGGUGGAUGCUGCCGCGGGCGUGCAGGAGAACAGCUUCUCCAUGAACGGCGCCGGCGGCCGCAGUCUCAACAGCUUCAGCAUGAACACCGCCGAGGGCGAGGGCGCCAAGGGGGGGAAAGCCAAACCCGCCGCCGGCGACUUCUGA
This 234-nucleotide ribosomal RNA is filed under the name Triticum aestivum (bread wheat). RNAcentral describes it as "partial small subunit ribosomal RNA". Lineage: Eukaryota; Viridiplantae; Streptophyta; Magnoliopsida; Poales; Poaceae. The record is from RNAcentral.